UGGGAUGUAGCCAAGUUGGUAAGGCAACGGAUUUUGAUUCCGUCAUGCGGGGGUUCAAGUCCCUCCAUCCCAGCCA
This 76-nucleotide transfer RNA is filed under the name Vibrio parahaemolyticus. RNAcentral's name for it is "tRNA-Gln". It matches the Rfam family "tRNA". From Rfam's summary of the family: Transfer RNA (tRNA) molecules are approximately 80 nucleotides in length. Lineage: Bacteria; Pseudomonadati; Pseudomonadota; Gammaproteobacteria; Vibrionales; Vibrionaceae. RNAcentral also lists the same sequence under 1 other name. The record is from RNAcentral.